RNAcentral lists this transfer RNA (87 nucleotides) under Roseinatronobacter ekhonensis. RNAcentral's name for it is "Rhodobacter sp. EL-50 tRNA". It matches the Rfam family "tRNA". Rfam says of the family: Transfer RNA (tRNA) molecules are approximately 80 nucleotides in length. Their secondary structure includes four short double-helical elements and three loops (D, anti-codon, and T loops). The record is from Rfam by way of RNAcentral. Lineage: Bacteria; Pseudomonadati; Pseudomonadota; Alphaproteobacteria; Rhodobacterales; Paracoccaceae.
GGAUGGGUGGCCGAGUGGUUUAAGGCUCUGGUCUUGAAAACCAGCGUAGGUGAAAGCCUACCGUGGGUUCGAAUCCCACCCCAUCCG